GAAGGAUCAUUACCGAGUGAGGGCCCUCUGGGUCCAACCUCCCACCCGUGUUUAUUUUACCUUGUUGCUUCGGCGGGCCCGCCUUUACUGGCCGCCGGGGGGCUCACGCCCCCGGGCCCGCGCCCGCCGAAGACACCCUCGAACUCUGCCUGAAGAUUGUAGUCUGAGUGAAAAUAUAAAUUAUUUAAAACUUUCAACAACGGAUCUCUUGGUUCCGGCAUCGAUGAAGAACGCAGCGAAAUGCGAUACGUAAUGUGAAUUGCAAAUUCAGUGAAUCAUCGAGUCUUUGAACGCACAUUGCGCCCCCUGGUAUUCCGGGGGGCAUGCCUGUCCGAGCGUCAUUGCUGCCCUCAAGCACGGCUUGUGUGUUGGGCCCCGUCCUCCGAUUCCGGGGGACGGGCCCGAAAGGCAGCGGCGGCACCGCGUCCGGUCCUCGAGCGUAUGGGGCUUUGUCACCCGCUCUGUAGGCCCGGCCGGCGCUUGCCGAUCAACCCAAAUUUUUAUCCAGGUUGACCUCGGAUCAGGUAGGGAUACCCGCUGAACUUAAG
This is a ribosomal RNA of 548 nucleotides. The stretch from base 189 to 341 matches the Rfam family "5.8S ribosomal RNA".